Long non-coding RNA from Hylaeus anthracinus, 4210 nucleotides. RefSeq lists it as uncharacterized. The transcript has 4 exons. NCBI's taxonomy places the organism in Eukaryota, Metazoa, Arthropoda, Insecta, Hymenoptera, Colletidae. The record is from RefSeq and is a predicted model, not a curated record.
AGGUCAAGCUGAUAACAGCACACAUAGAAUAUCGCUUGUAUACUUAUCUUCGCUCCUACACACCGUUCCGUUUCUCAAAACUUUAUAAUACGCUUCAUUUCGUAUACAGUUGUUUCGGAAUAAAUGGAUACUACUACGACUUUUAUCGAAGUCAGACUAUUAUUAGCUAGAUGAGUUAUAUAGUACCUAGCUUUUAUGAUUGUUUGUCUACUAUUAUUUUUAUCGUAAACAUAAAUUACUAUAAGAGCGCUGCUUCGUGUGCAUGUGCGUGCGCCGCCAUCUUAAGUGUACUUAUACUAUUUCCUUGUUACUGUCAUGCCUAGCAUAGCAAUGCUACUACGGUACAACUAUAGUGUAGUCGCGCUAUUAUAGCAUAAUCGGGGCCUGAAUUUAUCUAUUUGGUUGACAAAAUUAAUUCAAAGGUAUGUCAUAACUUGUGCCAAUUAUAGCAGAAACGAGAAACGGAAAUACGAGACACGGUUUUGUAAAUCGGUUCCUCGGUGAAUGGAUUAACGCGAUCGUGUGCUGUCAACUUCCGCUCCCACGGACACUGUUCGACCAACAUCUAGAAUCGUUCGCUAAAGUGCUUAAUUGCUCCUAGCAAGGAAAAGGAUCUUCUAUUUUUAAAGAGACUUCAUUUUUCACGUUCCUCGCGACAGAACUGAGACGCAUCGAUUACUUCGACGAGUGUUUGCACGAUUAGCCAAAAAAAAAAACAAGGUGAAAAUAUAGUCGUUUGAAAAAUAGCGAAAAACCUCGAUAGUGUUAAAAAAUGAAGCAUUGAAAGAAAACCAUUUAUUUGGAAUGUCUGACAAGUGGAGACUACGCGUUAAAAAGAAAGUAAAGAAUAAUAUUAAUCCCCGUAUCGACGGUCUACGGGGGGCGUGAAAGUCGUGGAACGAGGGUUAAUCGAAUAGAAAACUGGCAAACCGAGCUGCCUGAUGGAAGUCAUCGUAGAUAAGCUGUUAUCGGCAGGCAUGCGUGCAUACGUACGCCGGCACUUAAUUUCGUGUCGGACUGUUUGCUUUAUCGCAAUCGUGUACCUGCAGCGUUCAUUGCUCACGUACGUUUUUACGCGUCCGAUAAAUACGCCCCCCCCCCUCUUCUUGUGGAAAAAAAAUGGGCCACCGUACGUAACGCGUGUCGUAAACGUCUGAAAAUAUCUCCAAAGGUUGCCUACGCGAAUAUAAAGCACUCGGUAUUUAACGAUUUACGAGUGGGACGAAUACUUGUUCGCGGACCAAUACGACUGGACACCGAACCGAGACGACUGGAGGGUUCCCGCUGAAUUUUCAUCUUUCUCGACUAUUCGCGCGACGACACAUGGUUUCUGUUACUCCCACAUGGCCUAAACGACGCCAGGCAAGUGGCUCUAAGGUUGGAUUCGCGAUUGGAGCGAAUUUGUUUCGCGGAUCGAUACAACUGGAGGGCAAUAGGUCGUAAAUCAAUGGUCUGGAAUGACUGGAAACGUUGGACGUAGUAUCGUAGAACGAUUUGCAGUGGAAAUUUGUCCUUGACAGGAACUAUUAUCUAUCGCGGCGCAGUGGCUCCGUUCGACGUUAGAACAGUCUAGAAAUAUCGUUCGUUGAAUUCCUUGAUACUGUAGUCACUAGCGGAUUCGGCGUAUGAUGUAACUUAGGUCUUUUCCAGCGGGAGACUGCUUUCAGUACGUUAGAGAAGAGUUCGCUGUAUAAUUAGAAAAGAAUCGAAGGCGAAAAAUGUUGAAUUGAAUUUUAACGACGCCGAAAAGUAUUCUAGGAAAAUGUAAUAAUACAUACAUGGAGCUCGCGUGUUCCUUUGUAUACGUCUCGUUGGGAAAAUUAACGUUGCACGGUUAGUUUUACCAUGGCAAUUUCGCGUCAAGUGAAAAGCGAGAAAGUUGAAUUUAUCAUUCCGCAGGCCAACAUUUCGUUUCACUCCGUAAACGUCUACAAGGUUUUUUACCUUCUGCUUUAAUUUCACGUUCCACUGCGUGAAUCUUUAUCUGAAUAAAAAUUACACGUGUCGAACAAGAGAUUGAAAAUCGUUAUCUGUUACGUGGCCGAAUAAAUAUAACCCGAGUUAUUUCGAACUCCAAGAAAAACCAGAUUUUUAUAUUGUCUUUAUUCGAGGAAUGAAUUUACUUGGAACGAAUGUUGUUACGUGUUCGUCGCAUAAAGAUAAUUGUGAAUAUUAUGUAAUACGCGAGGAGCUGCGAAAACUGGAACAACCCCUCGUAACUCGUUCAAUGCAAGAUUGCCUAUGAGCAAUGUUGGAUUGCUUUAUCUGCUUCCUCCGAUAGUGCUCGCACAGUGGCUGAUAAAAGUCAAUGACAGAGGAAAAUGCCUCCAUCGGAAACGAGCUACACGAUUUAAGCAACGCCCACGCAAUUUAAAAAAAAAAUUACUCUCCAACCCAAAAUGAUGGAGUACCGAGUGAAGUUAAAGUCGGGGAGAUUACAGAGCGAUUCCAUGGCUCCCCAGUUGCCCAUCUGCCAUCUUGUCUCACACGAAUUGUACAAGUCUAAAACGUGGUGAAAUAAUACGAAAAUAAUGGAGCACCGAGUGAAAGUAAAAGUCGAAAGGAUUACAGAGCGAUCCCGUGGCUCCCCAGAUGUCCAUCCGCCAUCUUAUCUCCCAGGCAUAGUACAAGUCCAAAACACAAUAUACAUCGCGAUAUUUCCCACUCAAAUUAAAAGAAAAAUACUGUUCUACCUACAUUUUAUUCUUUUUUAUUCUAUUAUUUCAUGAAGCGAAAUAAUACGAAACAAUGGAGUACGAGUGGAAACUUUGGAGGGAUUACAGAGCGAUCCCGUGGCUCCCCAGUUGCCUAUCCGCCAUCUUGUCUCCCAGGCAUAGUACAAGUCCAAAACACAAUAUACAUCGCGAAAUUGGUGUCGAAUCGUAGUACAAGCUAGCAAUUUUAAUGGUUGCAACAGUUAUCUGCAGAUAGCUCACCACGUCCUCGAGGAAGCCUUCGUGGCUGGCUAUCGCGUCUUUAAUGGCAACAAUUUCGCGCUGAAAGAACCAUUCUCACGGUUAGUUUCAUAAAUACGAGUCUGUGCCGUGGACAAAGUCCGCGUAGACAAUGUAGCAAUUGUUUCUAUCAUCUUCGCAGACGAAUCGACGUUUUCGCGUCGAAUUCUCGGAGCCGUCCACGGAUCUAAGGAAUGCACGUUUCGGUGUUCCGUGCGAUCCUGGAAUAAAUGGCGAACGCGUCGAGAAUCCAAAACGCGUUGUUCGACUUUCGAGGAGAAAGGUGCACGACAUCUAGAUGCCGGGAGGUAGCGAACGUUAGAGGUCACGGUACGGUGAACUCCUUGGCGAGCAACCUUCAUCCUUUCCAAUUUGUUGCCGCGGAUUGUACUGAUGCGUGGCAGCGGCCACGGAAGCGAGACGAGCGUGAAAAAGGAGCGCGGGGCAACGACAACAACAACAGUGGCGGCUGAAUAGACGCGGCCGCUCAGAACGUAAAUCUUAUAUUUAUUAUUGCGGAAGCACGUUUUCGAGCAUACUGGUCGAUGGACUGUGGAUGUGUGUAACGGAGCCAUGGGAAAUUUUAUGAGAACGUGCAUAAAUGCAGGAAUACGUAAAAUAUCAACGAUAGUGCACGUGUUAUAGAAGAUGAAACAUAUUUUUAUUUAUGUCUGAAUGAUCCGCAGUGAUCAAUUUAGUUCUGAAUAUUUGUACGUGGAAGUCGAGAUUAAUGCGGGACAGGAGUUUGAAAACAUUUUUUAAGGAAAUGAAGUUGAUAUGUUUCGGUUGAGAUGGAAUUCUUGGUACAGUGAAUCUCAUUAUUUUGUCCCUGCCUUUUUAUUUCUCUUGCGGGUAUGUAGUGAAUAUAUUAAUAAAUAAACGUAGAGGGUUAUGAAUUAUCCUAUAAUCAAUUUCUUAGGAAAUAAAGAUUAGCAUUAUCUAUUAUACGUCCAGAUGUUAAUACAGCCAAUCUUUUUGUUGAAUAAAAUUAUCCUAGUAAAUCGCUAUAUAAUUAGGCAAAACUGUGUCAUUAUUUACGAGGCGUUUAAUUUUUCUUGUACAGUUACUAUCUAGUAUCAAUGACGCAGACUAUCAAAACAAACGUUAUAGACACAUAUUGGAUCCCAUUACGUAAGUGGAAUGAUUAGAAUGAGCAGAAAACUUCUUAUCGCUCUUGCAACAUAUUUUUAUCGAGACUCAAUAGCUGAUCGAUGUGCUCGAAGGUAGGUUAACACCUUCACUGUCUUUGAAGUUAA